GAUGAAGAACGCAGUGAAAUGCGAUAAGUAAUGUGAAUUGCAGAAUUCAGUGAAUCAUCGAAUCUUUGAACGCACCUUGCGCUCCUUGGUAUUCCGAGGAGCAUGCCUGUUUGAGUGUCAUUAAUAUAUCAACCUUCUCUUUUUUGAGUUGUUUGGAUGUGGGGGUUUGCUGGCCUCUUAAAUGAUUCAGCUCCCCUGAAAUGCAUUAGCAGAACAACCUGUUCAUUGGCGUGAUAAUUAUCUAUGCUAUUGAAUGUGAGAGCAGUUCAGCUUUCUAACCGUCCUUGGACAAUUCAUCAUUAAUGUGACCUCAAAUCAGGUAGGACUACCCGCUGAACUUAAGCAUAUCAAUAAGCGGAGGA
Molecule: unclassified non-coding RNA, 362 nt
Filed under: soil metagenome
Description: partial contains 5.8S ribosomal RNA, internal transcribed spacer 2, and large subunit ribosomal RNA
Rfam family: 5.8S ribosomal RNA (bases 1-120)
Source: RNAcentral